AGUUUUUUCUCAUCAUUAAUGGUAGAAUACAUUAGGUUAAAAUUAGUGACUACAUUUCAGCAUAAGUUUG
RNAcentral lists this transfer RNA (70 nucleotides) under Schistosoma mansoni. The record is from RNAcentral. Lineage: Eukaryota; Metazoa; Platyhelminthes; Trematoda; Strigeidida; Schistosomatidae.